This is a long non-coding RNA of Tyto alba (common barn owl), 225 nucleotides long. RefSeq lists it as uncharacterized. The record is from RefSeq and is a predicted model, not a curated record. The transcript has 2 exons. NCBI's taxonomy places the organism in Eukaryota, Metazoa, Chordata, Aves, Strigiformes, Tytonidae.
AAUCAGGUGAGGAACCAGGAGGGGUAGCCAAGAAAAAAACUAAAGUCAAAGUAAAAGAAGCUAUUAAAGAACCACUCAAGAAAUUAAGGGAGAAGCAGGAAUCCAAGAAGGAGGAAGUCAAAGAUGAGGAAGAAAAAAAGAAAGCCAGGAAAGGAAAAGAUGCUACUGAUCGAAAGGACAAGAAAGCUGUUGAUACGAAUAAAUUAAAGAAAGAUUCUGACAAGG